This 383-nucleotide ribosomal RNA is filed under the name uncultured bacterium. Its description in RNAcentral is "bacterial SSU rRNA". It matches the Rfam family "Bacterial small subunit ribosomal RNA", at positions 30 to 414 of the family's 1533-position model. The record is from RNAcentral.
AUUGAACGCUGGCGGCAUGCCUUACACAUGCAAGUCGAACGGCAGCACGGGAGCAAUCCUGGUGGCGAGUGGCGAACGGGUGAGUAAUAUAUCGGAACGUGCCCAGUCGUGGGGAUAACGUAGCGAAAGCUACGCUAAUACCGCAUACGAUCUAUGGAUGAAAGUGGGGGAUCUUCGGACCUCAUGCUCAUGGAGUGGCCGAUAUCUGAUUAGCUAGUUGGUGAGGUAAAGGCUCACCAAGGCGACGAUCAGUAGCUGGUUUGAGAGAACGACCAGCCACACUGGAACUGAGACACGGUCCAGACUCCUACGGAGGCAGCAGUGGGGAAUUUUUGGACAAUGGGGGCAACCCUGAUCCAGCAAUGCCGCGUGAGUGAAGAAGG